RNAcentral lists this ribosomal RNA (460 nucleotides) under uncultured bacterium. Its description in RNAcentral is "partial 16S ribosomal RNA". It matches the Rfam family "Bacterial small subunit ribosomal RNA", at positions 338 to 795 of the family's 1533-position model. The record is from RNAcentral.
CCUACGAGUGGCAGCAGUGAGGAAUAUUGGUCAAUGGACGAGAGUCUGAACCAGCCAAGUAGCGUGAAGGAUGACUGCCUUCUGGGCUGUAAACUUCUUUUAUAUUGGAAUAAAAUGUUCCACGUGUGGGAUUUUGUAUGUACCAUAUGAAUAAGGAUCGUCUAACUUCGUACCAGCAGCCGCGGUAAUACGGAGGUUCCGAGCGUUAUCCGGAUUUAUUGGGUUUAAAGGAAGCGUAGGUGGAUUGUUAAGUCAGUUGUGAAAGUUUGCGGCUCAACCGUAAAAUUGCAGUUGAAACUGGCAGUCUUGAGUACAGUAGAGGUGGGCGGAAUUCGUGGUGUAGCGGUGAAAUGCUUAGAUAUCACGAAGAACUCCGAUUGCGAAGGCAGCUCACUGGACUGCAACUGACACUGAGGCUCGAAAGUGUGGGUAUCAAACAGGAUUAGAUACCCGGGUAGUC